AUAUAAUAUAGAAUUUAAUUUUUUAUUUAAAAAGUUAAAAUAUAUUAAAAAGACGAGAAGACCCUAUAGAGUUUUAUAAUUAAAUUUAAUUGAAAUUAUUUAUAAAAUUAAAAUUAAAAUUAAUUUAAUUAUUAUAUUGGGGUGAUAGAAAAAUAUGAAAAACUUUUUAUAUAUUUAUAUUAAGAACAUCAAUAAAUGAUUAAAUGAUCCAAUAUUAUUGAUUAUAAGAAAAAAUUACCUUAGGGAUAACAGCGUAAUUUUUUUUUUUAGUUCAUAUAAGAAAAAGAGUUUGCGACCUCGAUGUUGGAUUAAGAUAAAAUUUAAAUGCA
RNAcentral lists this ribosomal RNA (329 nucleotides) under Sesamia sp. SEMOG3766. Its description in RNAcentral is "partial 16S large subunit ribosomal RNA". Lineage: Eukaryota; Metazoa; Arthropoda; Insecta; Lepidoptera; Noctuidae. The record is from RNAcentral.